GACGGUACUGCUCAGUGGUAGAAGCGCAUGCCUAGCAUGCAUGAGGUCCUGGGUUCAAUCCCUAGUACCACCA
This 73-nucleotide transfer RNA is filed under the name Camelus bactrianus (Bactrian camel). It matches the Rfam family "tRNA". Rfam says of the family: Transfer RNA (tRNA) molecules are approximately 80 nucleotides in length. Their secondary structure includes four short double-helical elements and three loops (D, anti-codon, and T loops). Further hydrogen bonds mediate the characteristic L-shaped molecular structure. tRNAs have two regions of fundamental functional importance: the anti-codon, which is responsible for specific mRNA codon recognition, and the 3' end, to which the tRNAs corresponding amino acid is attached (by aminoacyl-tRNA synthetases). tRNAs cope with the degeneracy of the genetic code in two manners: having more than one tRNA (with a specific anti-codon) for a particular amino acid; and 'wobble' base-pairing, i.e. permitting non-standard base-pairing at the 3rd anti-codon position. The record is from Rfam by way of RNAcentral. RNAcentral also lists the same sequence under 2 other names. Lineage: Eukaryota; Metazoa; Chordata; Mammalia; Artiodactyla; Camelidae.